AACCUAGCACACCUGCGGUGUGUACCUGCGGAGGGAUCAUUACAGAGUUCGUGCCCUCGCGGGUAGAUCUCCCACCCUUGUGUAUUCCUUACAUUUUGUUGCUUUGGCAGGCCGUUGGUUCGCCAACCACCGGCUCUACGGGCUGGUGCGUGCCUGCCAGAGGACCCCCCAAACUCGGUUUGUUAGUGUCGUCUGAGUAAUCAUAACAAUCGUUAAAACUUUCAGCAACGGAUCUCAGAU
RNAcentral lists this unclassified non-coding RNA (240 nucleotides) under soil metagenome. Its description in RNAcentral is "partial contains 5.8S ribosomal RNA, internal transcribed spacer 2, and large subunit ribosomal RNA". The record is from RNAcentral.